GCCGGCAGCCAUAUCACUCUGCAAAUCACAACUGACAACCCAGUGAAGCUCAGCAGGUGUGAGCCUGGUCAGUACCUGGAUGGGAGACCUCCUGAGAAAAGCUGAGGUUGCUGCUUGAA
Ribosomal RNA from Lepisosteus oculatus (spotted gar), 119 nucleotides. Lineage: Eukaryota; Metazoa; Chordata; Actinopteri; Semionotiformes; Lepisosteidae. The record is from Rfam.